AACCGUGUCUAGAGGAUAUUCGAUUUUGUAAGAAAAUACUAUAGUGUAUUAGAAUAGUUUAUUAAGUAGGGUGCUAAAUAUUGGUUUAGUCUUUAAUAAUAUAAACUAAUAAUGGAAUGUAUAAAUCCAAAUUUUUGCAGGGUAUACUAUUGAUGCAUGUUGAAUGAAAUGAAUGUUGAAAGGGAUAGUUAGUACUUCUGUCAGAUAAAAUAAAUCCAAACGCCUUACGUAUAAAUGCUUAUCUAUAGGUAAUCAAGGAAUUAAGAAUGAGGAGGAGAAAAUGAUUUUGCUUUAGUUCUUUUGUUCAUGUUGUGGUUUCUGAUACCACUCAGAUAAAGGACCCAUAUCACAUGCAUACAUAACAUGAUUUCUAAAAUAAUUGUAAUGUUGUUAUUAUUAUUAUUAGUAGUAAUAAAUGAACAGUACUAGUUUCUACAAAAAAGCAUAUGUUAAAACAAUAAGAAUCUUUAGAAAGGAAACAGAAAUAGUGCUAGUGUGGACUUCUGCAAAGGCUUGAUUGUAAGAGGAAUCAUAAUGGUUGUUUGUGUUUAUUUUAGCUAACUCAUUUUAAUUAUUCAGUGAUAUAUAUGAAUAAACUUUGAUUUAGAUGCAGAGGUAGAUAAUACUGGUCCACUGUAUUUUAAUUCUCAACCCUGCAAAGUACUCAUAGCACUGGACAAAGCUAGAUUCUAGAUGGUUGAGUUGAGAGAGACAGAUCAAAAUUUUCACAUUGAAGCCUAAAAAACUAGGGAACAGUAGGAAGAAAAGUUCACCACUUUAACAUAAAUGCAUAAAAUGAUUGUGAAGAAGCAAUAGUACUAGUAUGGCCAUAACAAGUGGUGGUGACAUAACCUGGCACAAAGUACUUACUACUAACCAUGACUUCACAACAGAAGAUGCCAUCGUACUCGGUACUGGAUGCCAGUUUUCACCAUGGACGGUAUCUAGAUAUAACGGACAAAAAAACAAACGGUUCAAUGUAUUCAACCUCGACCCGAAUUUGGUAUUUUCUUUUUUCUUCCUUCUUUACUUCCUUUGUGGCCAUGAGAAUAAGAAUUUCGACAUGAGCAAAAAAUCAUGCAUAUCACUCUCAUAUUAUUAUUGACUUGUGUGUUUUGGUCUGGUCCCCCUCUUGUUAAUUUGUUAUGCAAGCUAAUUAACACUGAUAUGAUAUGAUAUAUACCAUUUCAAAAGGGACUUUAUUGAAGAAAUGUGUAGGACAGUUGUGAAGAAUUUUGAUAUGAAUAGACAAAAGGUGAAAUUGUAGUGCUGGAAAAUUCUUGUUGCUUGUUGUCUUUGUAGUGCAUGCAGACAGGUGCACGGUGUAUAAGAUAAGAGGAACCGAAUAUAUAUAAAAUCAUCCUCUCAUUCAUACAUACA
Long non-coding RNA from Lathyrus oleraceus (garden pea), 1380 nucleotides. RefSeq lists it as uncharacterized. The transcript has 2 exons. The record is from RefSeq and is a predicted model, not a curated record. NCBI's taxonomy places the organism in Eukaryota, Viridiplantae, Streptophyta, Magnoliopsida, Fabales, Fabaceae.